CGCCCCGCGGCCGGCCGCUCCAGGGUUCCCCCGGCACCCGCCCCCGCGCGCCCUGCGCUCCCGCCCUUCCUCGUCGCCGCCCAGCCUGCCAGGCCUUUUGCGAACAUGGCGCUUGUCCCGUGCCAGGUGCUGCGGGUGGCGAUCCUGCUGUCCUACUGUUCUAUCCUGUGCAACUACAAGGCCAUCGAAAUGCCCUCGCAUCAGACCUACGGCGGGAGCUGGAAAUUCCUGACGUUCAUUGAUCUGGUUAUCCAGGCUGUCUUUUUUGGUAUUUGCGUGCUGACUGAUCUUUCCAGUCUUCUGACUAGAGGAAGUGGGAACCAAGAACAAGAAAGGCAGCUCAAGAAGCUUAUCUCGCUCCGGGACUGGAUGUUAGCCGUACUGGCCUUUCCUGUCGGGGUUUUCGUUGUAGCGGUGUUCUGGAUCAUUUAUGCCUAUGACAGAGAGAUGAUUUACCCGAAGUUGCUUGAUAAUUUUAUCCCAGGGUGGCUGAAUCACGGAAUGCACACAACAGUUUUGCCCUUUAUAUUAAUCGAGAUGAGGACAUCACACCAUGCGUAUCCCAGCAGGAACAGCGGACUUGCCGCCAUAUGUACCUUCUCUGUUGGCUAUAUAUUAUGGGUGUGCUGGGUGCAUCACGUAACUGGGAUGUGGGUGUAUCCUUUCCUGGAACACAUUGGCCCAGGAGCCAGAAUCAUCUUCUUUGGGUCUACAACCAUCUUAAUGAACUUUUUGUACCUGCUGGGAGAAGUUCUGAACAGCUAUAUCUGGGAUACACAGAGAACGCCUCUAUCUUGGCAAGGCACGUAAUCUUACCCAAGCUGUGCAAACCCCUGUCCAAAGCAUAUGUAAGAUAACAUAACAAAUGGGAAGGUGGAAAAAGCAACAGCACCGUAUGUAGUGGUUUGAGUCCUGCAUGAAAGUGUUUCCAAAGGCAAAAUGGUUUGGGAAUUUUGGAGAGUUCUGGGCAUCUCCGCCAAUAGAAUCACAACAUUCUAGACAUCCCUCACAAAUGAUCUCUGUUCCACAAACACUGAGCACCCUACGUUGUGCCAGACCCUGUGCCAGGAACCGGAUCUUAUUAGACAAAUAAAACACAGUCGUUGCAUGGUUACCAAAUUGGACUUUUUUGUGUGUGGACCUUCUAAGAUUGUGUGUCAAGGCAUUGGCCAAUGGUAAGUGGCCAGGAGGAAUUUAAGGAUUUCUUUUCUCGGCAGCUGGCUUAAUUUUAAUAAGUGGUCUAUUAGAAAAAGUGUCAAAAUGUUUCAUUCAGUUCAGACCACAGCUUGGGAAACCAGAAAUUAAUCUUUUAAUAAUUCCUUCUCUGUUUAAUGGGAAUAGUAAUCUUUAUUAGUUAACUUAUGAAAGUAUUUAGCUAACUUGCAGAAAUAUUUUGAGAACAAAAUGUAAACAUUUCUCAGCUUCUUGGGAGAAAGGCCAUAUUUAAAUGUAGGCUAAUAUACUUUCUAUAUGUUAUUCAGGAAGUAUUUAUGACUCUUUCCCCUUGAUUUAGCUUGAUUCCAAUGGUCAUUUGGCCAUUGUUCUGCUACUCCUAAGAGAAGAUGGCCUGAAGACCAGGAAAGAGAAAAAUCCGGUGUGGAUUCAUAGAAUGCUGCUCUUUAGCAGCUCUAAGUGAGAAGUUAAAAAUGAAUAGUGAAACUCAGGGUUUUUUUAAUGAUCUGUUCAAUUUAAUUUGGGCCAUUCUCUUAAGUAAGGUUGACUCAUAUUCCAUAACUCAUUUUAGGUAUGGAGAUUAAUUUUAUCUACAUGGGACCAUCUAGUUAAUUCCACAAAGGCAGAUGUUUCAUGUCAAGUGGACACAUUUUUCUCAUCUAUGAGAAGGAUUGCAAACUGAUGGCCUCCCCCCAAAUUUACUUGCCAAAAGUUUUGUUAGACCUACGUGGUGGGAUUUUUCUUUUUGAACCAACAUUUAAAAAUUGGGAGAUUAUACACACAGGCCAGAUUCACCAGCUUAUCAGAUACUUUUUUAAGAUCUGGCAACACCAGGCCCACCAAGCCCACUUAUGGCAACAAUGGAUCAGUUGCCCCCUUGAGCUGGCUCCUUAAGUGUUCCUAGUUUUCACCUGGCCACUUUGCUCCACUACAUUAGCUGCCUGUUUCCAUACAUGGUUAAAUUUGAAAGUGCUGAUUAAAAGCAGUAUGUGCCGUA
RNA transcript from Neofelis nebulosa (Clouded leopard), 2170 nucleotides. It is a transcript of the gene named androgen induced 1, with no coding region annotated. Lineage: Eukaryota; Metazoa; Chordata; Mammalia; Carnivora; Felidae. The transcript has 7 exons. The record is from RefSeq and is a predicted model, not a curated record.